ACCCUCUUUUUCACCUCGUCGGAAAUAUUAUGGGACCCCCUCGCACCCCGCCCUCAGGAUAAGAGGCUGAUUGACAGUUGAGACGGACAACGGAAGUCCCAGGCCUAUGCACGCUCACGCAUGUCCCCCUCGUGUGUAUUGUGAAAGUCACGUGGUCUCUGGCCACUGGACAUACUUGGAUGAUGGGCGGCCCAGGGGGAGGGCGGGGCUUACAGAAUUUGGAAGAAGACAAAAGGUACAGUGAACAUGUAGAGAAUGGCACAACGGUAGUCGUAUAUUUUACCCACCUUUGUAUGACCAAAAUUGUGUGAAACAUCUAUCCAGUCAUCAAAUCUAGCACUUUUGAAUACACUAAGGUGAUUAGAAUAGACAAGACCUACGGUGAAACAUCUAUCCAGUCAUCAAAUCUAGCACUUUUGAAUACACUAAGGUGAUUCGAAUAGACUAGACCUACGCUUUGAGGUUUGUCUACGAAAGGUCCACGCCAAGAAGUUUGAGAGCAUGACAUUCUUUUAAACGAUGAAAAUUAAGACAUUCCCCUUUGAGGAAUCAAGCUGUGAACGCCUUCGCGAUUGUUAAGUGUAAUACAAACUGAACUGAUGUCGCCCCCAAUUAAUGUUAUGAAAGAGUCAGUAACGAUUUGCAAGUUCCCUUGGUACCCACGGCGCUCACCAGUACGAGGUUUAAAUAAAGUCUCAAUUUAAAAAAAAAAGAA
Molecule: long non-coding RNA, 715 nt
Organism: Aplysia californica (California sea hare)
Lineage: Eukaryota; Metazoa; Mollusca; Gastropoda; Aplysiida; Aplysiidae
Exons: 2
Source: RefSeq, a predicted model, not a curated record